RNAcentral lists this ribosomal RNA (254 nucleotides) under uncultured bacterium. Its description in RNAcentral is "partial 16S ribosomal RNA". It matches the Rfam family "Bacterial small subunit ribosomal RNA", at positions 524 to 776 of the family's 1533-position model. The record is from RNAcentral.
UACGAAGGGGGGCUAGCGUUGUUCGGAUUUACUGGGCGUAAAGCGCACGUAGGCGGUUUGUUAAGUCAGGGGUGAAAUCCCACAGCUCAACUGUGGAAACUGCCUUUGAUACUGGCAGCUAGAGUCCGGAAGAGGUAAGUGGAACUCCUAGUGUAGAGGUGGAAUUCGUAGAUAUUAGGAAGAACACCAGUGGCGAAGGCGGCUUACUGGUCCGGAACUGACGCUGAGGUGCGAAAGCGUGGGGAGCAAACAGG